RNAcentral lists this long non-coding RNA (1309 nucleotides) under Macaca mulatta (Rhesus monkey). RNAcentral describes it as "lncRNA (ENSMMUG00000039877.2)". The record is from RNAcentral. Lineage: Eukaryota; Metazoa; Chordata; Mammalia; Primates; Cercopithecidae.
CCUGCAGACGGUGGCGAAUGCUCAGUCUUCUCAAUUCAAGUUAUGACAGUCUUCUCUGAGUAUAAUAACUUCUGUAGGGUAAUUACUUUCCCUCCUCUCGAGGGCAUUCCCCACCUCCACCUUCACAAAGAAGCAUCAUGGUCAGUUGCAAGGUAAGCCAAUGUAUCCUCCAGGCAUUGUGAUGUUCUCCUGGUCCCUGGCUGCAUCUGUCACUGAGUAGCUGAGGCUGAUAUGUCCACCUGUGAUCAGGUGCCCAUGGCCUGGUGGUUCCUCCUCAUCCUUCUGAUCCCCUGAGGCCUGCCUGUGGCUGCUCCUGAGAAUCUGGCUGGCAGAGUCUGCUGUGGAGCUGAGUCUCCAGGGUAACUGUCUUCCCUAGGACAGCUUGGAAGCCAGCGUCAUCAGUGAUCAUCUAUGUUCCCUCUGGAGCACGUGGGAAUUUCCAUGUCCCAUAAAUACUAGGCCAGGGAUGUGGCAAUCUUUGGCCUGGUCUCAGGAGCUUCCCUCAGAAUUGUCUGUUUUGGUUCAGGCACCAUGCAGCAAGCAGCGCCCUGUUGGCCACAGGGCUUCUCUAAAAGGCAUGGAGUAUUUACAGGAUGAGCCCAAGGAAGACCCCAGAGGCGUCUUUCAUGCUUUCCUACAAAAACAAUCGAAAGAUCAUUUCCAUAAGAGUUGAUGAGAUCUCGGGUUUAAAGGUGAAUGGUCCUCUAUUACGUGGCCUGAGCUGACAGUCCUCUCAGCAUGUACUAUACAAUUGUCUCAGCCCAUCUGACUGCUGAACUACCAAGGGCAAGAUGAGGAGUAUAAUGUGUCAAGGCAAACCAAAACUGAUGCAAUGUCUCCAGCACCAUCCGCAGAAUCUCCACUGGCUGACAGAGGACACACCGAUCCUAUUUGGAUUGGCUUUCACUACCAUCAGAAGGGUGUAGGAAAUCCAUCUCUUACCCAGUUAUUGGAACCACUGGGAUAUCUGGCAUACAGAUUGAGAACAACUGCCAGAGAGUCUUGAUCAGGAAGAAACCCAAGCCUGCCUUCACCCCUCACAUUUGCAGAGCUCUUGACAUAUUUAAAAAGCAUUUUCGUAUACACUUGAAACGCUCUUAACCAACCUCCACUUCAUCAGCUUGCCAGUCCAACUAAUCCUCUCCAUCCCUUCUAUAAAAUGUGAUGACUGAGGACCACAUCAAAUAGAAUACUACUGACUCCAAAGUUACUCUCUAGUAACACUUUGCAAACUGCACAUUGAAAUCCAUGAGUGGAUCAUGAAAACAAGUUAGAAGGUUGAGCCAGAAGUUAUAAAAAUGUAAAAUGG